UACGUAGGUGGCAAGCGUUGUCCGGAUUUACUGGGCGUAAAGGGCGUGUAGGCGGUCAAGUAAGUGGAAUGUGAAAGCCCCCGGCUUACCCGGGGAUCUGCAUCCCAAACUGCUUGGCUUGAGUACGGGAGAGGAUAGGGGAAUUCCAGGUGUAGCGGUGAAAUGCGUAGAUAUCUGGAGGAACACCGGUGGCGAAGGCGGCAUCCUGGACCGGCAUUGACGCUGAGGCGCGAAAGCCAGGGGAGCAAACGGG
RNAcentral lists this ribosomal RNA (253 nucleotides) under uncultured bacterium. RNAcentral describes it as "partial 16S ribosomal RNA". It matches the Rfam family "Bacterial small subunit ribosomal RNA", at positions 524 to 776 of the family's 1533-position model. The record is from RNAcentral.